This 322-nucleotide ribosomal RNA is filed under the name uncultured Clostridium sp. RNAcentral's name for it is "bacterial SSU rRNA". It matches the Rfam family "Bacterial small subunit ribosomal RNA", at positions 1051 to 1378 of the family's 1533-position model. The record is from RNAcentral. RNAcentral also lists the same sequence under 1 other name. Lineage: Bacteria; Bacillati; Bacillota; Clostridia; Eubacteriales; Clostridiaceae.
GUCGUCAGCUCGUGUCGUGAGAUGUUGGGUUAAGUCCCGCAACGAGCGCAACCCUUGUGAUUAGUUGCUACGCAAGAGCACUCUAACCAGACUGCCGUUGACAAAACGGAGGAAGGUGGGGAUGACGUCAAAUCAUCAUGCCCCUUAUGACCUGGGCUACACACGUACUACAAUGGCCGCGCACAGAGGGAAGCGAAACCGCGAGGCGGAGCGAACCCCCAAAAACGGUCUCAGUUCGGAUCGCAGGCUGCAACCCGCCUGCGUGAAGCUGGAAUUGCUAGUAAUCGCGGAUCAUAAUGCCGCGGUGAAUACGUUCCCGGGA